Molecule: ribosomal RNA, 806 nt
Filed under: uncultured bacterium
Lineage: Bacteria
Description: bacterial SSU rRNA
Rfam family: Bacterial small subunit ribosomal RNA
Source: RNAcentral
AGAGUUUGAUCAUGGCUCAGAAUCAACGCUGGCGGCGUGCCUCAGACAUGCAAGUCGAACGAGAACCUUCCUUCGGGGAGGGGACAGUGGCGCACGGGUGAGUAACACGUGGGUAAUUUACCUUUGGGUGGGGAACAGCAGCCGGAAACGGCUGCUAAUACCGCAUAAUGCAGCGGCUCGACAUCGAGACAGUUGUUAAAGCGGGGGAUCUUCGGACCUCGCGCCUAAAGAGAAGCCCGCGGCAGAUUAGCUAGUUGGUAGGGUAAUGGCCUACCAAGGCGACGAUCUGUAACCGGCCUGAGAGGGCGGUCGGUCACACUGACACUGACAUACGGGUCAGACUCCUACGGGAGGCAGCAGUCGGGAAUUUUGGGCAAUGGGCGAAAGCCUGACCCAGCAACGCCGCGUGAAGGAUGAAGCUUUUCGGAGUGUAAACUUCAUAAGAAUGGGAAGAAUAAGUUUAGGAUAAUACCCUGAACGAUGACGGUACCAUUUGUAAGCUCCGGCUAACUCCGUGCCAGCAGCCGCGGUAAUACGGGGGGAGCAAGCGUUGUUCGGAUUUACUGGGCGUAAAGGGCGCGUAGGCGGCGCGACAAGUCACUUGUGAAAUCUCUGGGCUCAACCCAGAACGGUCAAGUGAUACUGUCGUGCUAGAGUGCGGAAGGGGCAACUGGAAUUCUUGGUGUAGCGGUGAAAUGCGUAGAUAUCAAGAGGAACACCUGCGGCGAAGGCGGGUUGCUGGGCCGACACUGACGCUGAGGCGCGAAAGCUAGGGGAGCGAACGGGAUUAGAUACCCUAGUAGUCC